This 504-nucleotide ribosomal RNA is filed under the name uncultured bacterium. RNAcentral describes it as "partial 16S ribosomal RNA". It matches the Rfam family "Bacterial small subunit ribosomal RNA", at positions 30 to 523 of the family's 1533-position model. The record is from RNAcentral.
AUUGAACGCUGGCGGCAUGCCUUACACAUGCAAGUCGAACGGCAGCAUGGAGAGCUUGCUCUCUGAUGGCGAGUGGCGAACGGGUGAGUAAUGCAUCGGAACGUACCGUGUAAUGGGGGAUAACGUAGCGAAAGUUACGCUAAUACCGCAUACGACCUGAGGGUGAACGCAGGGGAUCGCAAGACCUUGAGUUAUACGAGCGGCCGAUGUCAGAGUAGCUAGUUGGUGAGGUAAAGGCGCACCAAGGCGACGACCUGUAGCGGGUCUGAGAGGAUGAUCCGCCACACUGAGACUGAGACACGGCCAAGACUCCUACGGGAGGCAGCAGUGGGGAAUUUUGGACAAUGGGGGCAACCCUGAUCCAGCCAUGCCGCGUGAGUGAAGAAGGCCUUCGGGUUGUAAAGCUCUUUCGGCCGGGAAGAAAUCGCACAGGCUAAUACUCUGUGUGGAUGACGGUACCGGCAUAAGAAGCACCGGCUAACUACGUGCCAGCCGCCGCGGUAA